Long non-coding RNA from Dipodomys spectabilis (banner-tailed kangaroo rat), 109 nucleotides. RefSeq lists it as uncharacterized. Lineage: Eukaryota; Metazoa; Chordata; Mammalia; Rodentia; Heteromyidae. The record is from RefSeq and is a predicted model, not a curated record. The transcript is spliced from 3 exons.
UUGAGAUGGGGACAUGGGGGGUCCCAGCUUGGAUACUCAGUUGAGUACUGAUCCACUUAGUUUGAGCCUUCCUUAGAAAUCCAGAUGGCUGGAAAAUGGACAGCAACCA